Molecule: long non-coding RNA, 1832 nt
Organism: Mauremys mutica (yellowpond turtle)
Lineage: Eukaryota; Metazoa; Chordata; Testudines; Geoemydidae
Exons: 4
Source: RefSeq, a predicted model, not a curated record
AAGUGUACAAGCAUAGCCUAAUGCCAUGAUGGGAACAAAAGUUCUUUGGUUUGGGUGAAGAGAAGCAGGCCAUAUCGAAAGACCCAGCCUGCAUAGGAAGUUCCUGAGUGGCAAAAGAACGGGCCAGGGCCCCAAGAAGGUAGAAAGAAAGGAGAAGGUGUCCUCUUGGACAAAGACACAUUAGGCAGGCUAGGUGGAGAUGGUAGGAAUGGCCAUAGCCCUUGCAGACCUUCCCCCAACAUACCCUGUCGGGUGCUGCAGGGAGGUGAAGGAUGAAAUGGUUGGCACAGAGAUUAAUCAGGCACAAGAGUUGAGCAGUGGUGUGUGCUCAGACCAUGAUGGAAAAGGUUUUGGGGGAUGCAGCGGUAGUAGAAAAAAGGCUACAGAAGAAGCUGGUGGCUUCAGAACAAGGCUCUGCAAGCAGUUGUUAAUGAGAAUGAGUGGCUGCAGGAAGAGCAUUGGGACACUGCAGAAGAGAAGGAUGGCCUCUGAGCUCUGGUGAGUGAGCUGGCUGGGGAGCUGGAGAUGCCGCGCGCCCAGGCUCUAUGAGUGCAUAGCCGGUGACAGCGACGAGAUGGUGAGGGAUGAAUGCUGGACAAGAGUAGAACUUGCCCCUGGGUUGGGCCGGAUUGUAAGGAGGAGGGUAUAUAACUGGGUGGCUUGGCCUGUGGCUGCAAAGCCUGGAGCUAGGCCAAAUUCAUGACCAAAUGAGCCCCACCUGAGAGGAAACAAGGGAAAACAGCAGCAAAAGUACAGAAGCAGACCUAGCUGUUCAGUAUAUGGCCUUGGGCCAAAACCUGGAGUCCAGGGUAGAACUGGGUUCUCCCACCGUCCCUAAGGAAGGGGACAUAGAAGACCAUAGAAACCCAAGAAGGGCAGGCCAAGCCGAAAUCAGGCUGAGGAAGAGCUCCCCACGAGGGUGGAAGGCCUUGUUACUGUUCAAGACAUUUUGGGACUUUGUUUGGAAGGAGCAUGACCCAGGAAGGAGUGGACUAAAGGACAGUCACCUGGUUGAAGGGCUGAGUUCCCAGCCGACAAACUGCAAGAGUGACUAUCAACGGGGUUGCUAGCCCAGCUAGAAAGCUGUGACAUGAGGCCUGGCCAGGAUCUAGUGGAGAUGUCUGGUGAACUGCCCGUGGACUCUGUGCCCAGCACCACUCCGAAAUUAUUCACUACCUUCAAAGAAACAGGGCACAGCUCAGCCUGUUAGUCUCUGUCCCAGCCACUUACACAGAUGUAUGCUGCAGCCAGCCCAGCUCAGAGAGCAGUGGGGACAGAUGAUCUCAUCCUGUCAAACCAAGCAACCCAUUGAGGCUUAGAUGGAAGAUCCCAUGCAUCUCCUGGAGAGGAUGUGUCCGGAAUCCUGGAGACUGUUUCCUGCAGGAGGUUUGAGCAGGGAGAAAUCACUCACUGUCAUGACCCAUGGGUCAUUAACCCGGGUCUGCAGGGUUCAUGGGAGCAGCCACACUCCAGCAGGCCACCUGGAAGCCUACUAACAACUGCUUACCUAGGACUUACGAAGUCCAGACCCAGUUUGAGGCUCCAUCCCUGAGGCCUACUGGCAGAGUCCCAGAGCAGAUAAUUGGCCCCCGGGACCUCCUUAAACCAACAGCAGGAACAAGAAGCUGUCUGAACACCCGAGCUCUCCUGUCUUCUGGACCAUGUGUUAGCUGUUCCUGCUCCCACUCCCCAGGCUUGAUUUCCUGGCAUCCUGACUCGCUGUCAUUCAUCUGAUUUGAGGAUCUGAACACAAUUUGGUCUUUUGCUUCUGCUCUUCCAGUAUCCUGACCCAGCUGACUCUCGACUCCUGUCUUCUGAGUGUGGACUCUGCC